This 374-nucleotide ribosomal RNA is filed under the name uncultured organism. RNAcentral's name for it is "bacterial SSU rRNA". It matches the Rfam family "Bacterial small subunit ribosomal RNA", at positions 526 to 896 of the family's 1533-position model. The record is from RNAcentral.
CGUAGGGUGCAAGCGUUGUCCGGAAUUAUUGGGCGUAAAGAGCUCGUAGGCGGUCUGUUGCGUCGGCUGUGAAAAACCCGGGGCUCAACCCCGGGCCUGCAGCCGAUACGGGCAGACUAGAGUUCGGCAGGGGAGACUGGAAUUCCUGGUGUAGCGGUGAAAUGCGCAGAUAUCAGGAGGAACACCGGUGGCGAAGGCGGGUCUCUGGGCCGAUACUGACGCUGAGGAGCGAAAGCGUGGGGAGCGAACAGGAUUAGAUACCCUGGUAGUCCACGCCGUAAACGUUGGGCGCUAGGUGUGGGUUCCCUUCCACGGGAUCCGUGCCGCAGCUAACGCAUUAAGCGCCCCGCCUGGGGAGUACGGCCGCAAGGCUA